GGGGGUGACUGGUUUCGACAGGGUAUGUCUGAGGUGGUAAGCAGGCCGUGGUCUCCUCGCCACGCUAAACAGGGGUACCGUCAAAAUGAAUUGACAAGAACAACUCUUUUGAGCCCCAGUUGGCUCUUGCCGCAUAACAUAAGUCGGCACGUCUAACCGGGAUUUCUCCCGCUCCCGGGGUGAUGUCAUGCUAGGGAGGCGCUCGUACGGACGUAGCUGGUAUGCCGUGCGCUAAGAUCGAACCCGCUAGGAAGCCGCGCGCGUGUUGCUAGGUGCAAGGCGACCGAAUCCCAACUAGCAACUGAGCCUGGAGAAACCCACCAGGGAUGUGCUUUGGACCGGAGUUCGAUUCUCCGCACCUCCACCA
This 367-nucleotide transfer-messenger RNA is filed under the name Atopobiaceae. RNAcentral's name for it is "RUG440 sp902793465 Standard tmRNA". It matches the Rfam family "transfer-messenger RNA". Rfam says of the family: Bacterial tmRNA, also known as 10Sa RNA or SsrA, is named for its dual tRNA and mRNA-like properties. Its role is to liberate the mRNA from a stalled ribosome. To accomplish this part of the tmRNA is used as a reading frame that ends in a translation stop signal. Lineage: Bacteria; Bacillati; Actinomycetota; Coriobacteriia; Coriobacteriales. RNAcentral also lists the same sequence under 1 other name. The record is from RNAcentral.